This is a microRNA precursor of Medicago truncatula (barrel medic), 74 nucleotides long. It matches the Rfam family "MIR5272 microRNA precursor family". The record is from Rfam. Lineage: Eukaryota; Viridiplantae; Streptophyta; Magnoliopsida; Fabales; Fabaceae.
UUGAAUGCGAAUUGAUUUAUGUUCGGAUACAUUGACUUAGAAUUGAUUCUUAAAAAUUAAUGUUGUUUGGAUAG